RNAcentral lists this ribosomal RNA (440 nucleotides) under uncultured Pseudomonas sp. Its description in RNAcentral is "bacterial SSU rRNA". It matches the Rfam family "Bacterial small subunit ribosomal RNA", at positions 358 to 790 of the family's 1533-position model. The record is from RNAcentral. Lineage: Bacteria; Pseudomonadati; Pseudomonadota; Gammaproteobacteria; Pseudomonadales; Pseudomonadaceae.
GGAAUAUUGGACAAUGGGCGAAAGCCUGAUCCAGCCAUGCCGCGUGUGUGAAGAAGGUCUUCGGAUUGUAAAGCACUUUAAGUUGGGAGGAAGGGCAGUAAGCGAAUACCUUGCUGUUUUGACGUUACCGACAGAAUAAGCACCGGCUAACUCUGUGCCAGCAGCCGCGGUAAUACAGAGGGUGCAAGCGUUAAUCGGAAUUACUGGGCGUAAAGCGCGCGUAGGUGGUUUGUUAAGUUGGAUGUGAAAGCCCCGGGCUCAACCUGGGAACUGCAUCCAAAACUGGCAAGCUAGAGUACAGUAGAGGGUGGUGGAAUUUCCUGUGUAGCGGUGAAAUGCGUAGAUAUAGGAAGGAACACCAGUGGCGAAGGCGACCACCUGGACUGAUACUGACACUGAGGUGCGAAAGCGUGGGGAGCAAACAGGAUUAGAUACCCUAG